Molecule: long non-coding RNA, 717 nt
Organism: Podarcis raffonei (Aeolian wall lizard)
Lineage: Eukaryota; Metazoa; Chordata; Lepidosauria; Squamata; Lacertidae
Exons: 2
Source: RefSeq, a predicted model, not a curated record
CCCCAAGAUGGGUUUCAGAUUGGAGUGUAUAAACUUAUGUCGUGCAUGCAACACCUGCUGAAAUUCUCUCGCACACUGCUGCUCUCCUUUGCUCUGGACCACCCGAGACGUCGAAAAUAUCCGUGCUGCUUAGCUGCUACGCUCGUCGUGGCCUCUAUUCCGAGACAAACUCAGAGGGAUCCAUGAGACUCACCCAGAACAAGCCAUCUGGGGCCUCCAGCCACACACACACACACCCUACAUGGUCUGAUUAGGAGAAAGUGGAUAGAGACGCAAGGCUGCUAUACUACAACCGGUUUACGUGGGGAAGGUAAGAGCUGCUGGAAUCCAUGAACUUAGCCUCCAAGUCGAAGCAUUUAGGCUGAGGGAAACCUGGCAGUCCAAACCCACGCACAAUUACUCAGAAACAACUCCCACCAAAAGAAAGAAAACUUACUUCCUUUUACUCCAGUCUCCCCUUCCAUGCACCCCGCUCCUAUUCCCGUUUUAUUGGAAGGGGCCUUCCCCAGGAUUGGCGCCUUGUCUUGUGCUUUUGUUUUGCUCUGAACAUGUAAGAGCGCAUAGUAGGAAUAAGUCCUGUUGAACAUAGUAGGGAAUUACUACCGAGUAACAGUGCAUAGGAUCGGGCUUUGGGAGGACAAUACUGCAGUGCGAAAGCUUGCUUCCAGUGUUUUUAAAAGACACAGAUGGCCCAACUAAAGGUUUGUUUUCAAUUGA